GCCAUCAGCCAUCUCACCCUGCAGCCCAAGACCGGUUUCUCACUGAAGCUAAGCAGGGCUGAGCCUGGUCAGUACCUAAAUGGGAGACCACAUUGGAAAUACUAGGUUGCUGUUGGAA
Molecule: ribosomal RNA, 118 nt
Organism: Danio rerio (zebrafish)
Lineage: Eukaryota; Metazoa; Chordata; Actinopteri; Cypriniformes; Danionidae
Source: Ensembl